RNAcentral lists this long non-coding RNA (398 nucleotides) under Parus major (Great Tit). Its description in RNAcentral is "lncRNA (ENSPMJG00000011343.1)". Lineage: Eukaryota; Metazoa; Chordata; Aves; Passeriformes; Paridae. The record is from RNAcentral.
CCCUUCCAUUGUUUGGACUAAACCUUCCCAGAUUUACUUACUUCCUUUUGAUGUCUGGCAAUGUUUGUUUAUUAGCGCCAGUGGCCUGUGUUAACUCUGAGUAAGUCUUUGACUAAAUCCCAUUCUCUGCCUUUCCUCCCUUCACGGGCUUGUGAGCUGAUAAACUUCAGUGCUGGCUUUCAAACCCAGUGAGGUUAAACAUGAACUUCUUUUACACCUGCCUGCUUUCCCAGCUAAUGGACCCUGGUGGCUGCUGAGAGAGGAGUCCUUUUAUGGCAAAGAGAAGGCUGCAAAAGUUCAUUUCGUUUCUGGUGGGAAGGCACACCAGCUGACUGGGUUUCAUCGUGUGGCUAUUUCAGCAAAAUUUUAAGGAGUCAGAUGUCUUGCCUAGGAGCUGU